Molecule: ribosomal RNA, 900 nt
Filed under: uncultured bacterium
Lineage: Bacteria
Description: bacterial SSU rRNA
Rfam family: Bacterial small subunit ribosomal RNA
Source: RNAcentral
CUGCAGUUGAGCGUACCCAGCAAUGGGGAGCAGCGUAAGGGGCAGUAAGGCAUGGGUAUCUACCCGGGGAUCGGGCAUAGCCUGUAGAGAUACAGGGUAAUUCCCGAUGAUGUCGCAAGACCAAAGCUCCGGCGUCCCUGGAGGAGCCCAUGUGAUAUUAGCUAGUUGGUGGGGUAACGGCCUACCAAGGCGAAGAUGUCUAGCGGGUGUGAGAGCACGACCCGCGCCACUGGCACUGAGACACUGGCCAGACACCUACGGGUGGCUGCAGUCGAGGAUCUUCGGCAAUGGGCGCAAGCCUGACCGAGCGAGGCCGCGUGGGCGAUGAAGGCCUUCGGGUUGUAAAGCCCUGUCGAGGGGGAGAAAAGCCGCAAGGCGUGAUCUAUCCCUGGAGGAAGCACGGGCUAAGUUCGUGCCAGCAGCCGCGGUAAGACGAACCGUGCGAACGUUGUUCGGAAUCACUGGGCUUAAAGGGCGCGUAGGCGGGCUAUCAAGUCCGGGGUGAAAUCCUCCAGCUCAACUGGAGAACUGCCUCGGAUACUGAUGGUCUCGAGGAGGAUAGGGGCACACGGAACUGUGGGUGGAGCGGUGAAAAUGCGUUGAUAUCCAUAGGAACUCCGGUGGCGAAAGCGGUGUGCUGGAUCCUUUCUGACGCUGAGGCGCGAAAGCCAGGGGAGCAAACGGGAUUAGAUACCCCGGUAGUCCUGGCCCUAAACGUUGGGUACUAGGUAGUAGACUAGACAUGGGUUUACUUCCGAAGCAAAAGUGCUAAAGUACCCCGCCCUGGGGAGUAUGGUCGCAAGGCUGAAACUCAAAGGAAUUGACGGGGGGCUCACACAAGCGGUGGAGCAUGUGGCUUUAAUUCGAGGCAACGCGAAAAACCUUACCUGGGUUUGACAU